This 427-nucleotide ribosomal RNA is filed under the name uncultured bacterium. RNAcentral's name for it is "partial 16S ribosomal RNA". It matches the Rfam family "Bacterial small subunit ribosomal RNA", at positions 355 to 774 of the family's 1533-position model. The record is from RNAcentral.
UGGGGAAUAUUGGACAAUGGGCGAAAGCCUGAUCCAGCCAUGCCGCGUGUGUGAAGAAGGUCUUCGGAUUGUAAAGCACUUUAAGUUGGGAGGAAGGGCAUUAACCUAAUACGUUAGUGUUUUGACGUUACCGACAGAAUAAGCACCGGCUAACUCUGUGCCAGCAGCCGCGGUAAUACAGAGGGUGCAAGCGUUAAUCGGAAUUACUGGGCGUAAAGCGCGCGUAUGUGGUUUGUUAAGUUGUAUGUGAAAUCCCCGGGCUCAACCUGGGAACUGCAUUCAAAACUGACUGACUAGAGUAUGGUAGAGGGUGGUGGAAUUUCCUGUGUAGCGGUGAAAUGCGUAGAUAUAGGAAGGAACACCAGUGGCGAAGGCGACCACCUGGACUAAUACUGACACUGAGGUGCGAAAGCGUGGGGAGCAAACA